CAGCCGUAAACUAUGCGCGUUAGGUGUAUCGGUGACCACGAGUUACCGAGGUGCCGAAGGGAAACCGUGAAACGUGCCGCCUGGGAAGUACGGUCGCAAGGCUGAAACUUAAAGGAAUUGGCGGGGGAGCACCACAACAGGUGGAGCCUGCGGGUUUAAUUUGGACUCAACGCCGGGAAGCUCACCGGAUAGGACAGCAGAAUGAUUGCCGGGCUGAAGACCCUGCAUGACUAGCUGAGAGGAGGUGCAUGGCGUCAGUGACUGU
This 265-nucleotide ribosomal RNA is filed under the name uncultured archaeon. RNAcentral describes it as "partial 16S ribosomal RNA". It matches the Rfam family "Archaeal small subunit ribosomal RNA", at positions 748 to 1010 of the family's 1478-position model. The record is from RNAcentral.